UACGUAGGGGGCAAGCGUUGUCCGGAAUCAUUGGGCGUAAAGCGCGUGUAGGCGGUUACGUAAGUCUGCUGUGAAAGUCGGAGGCUCAACCUUCGAAAGCCGGUGGAUACUGCGUGACUAGAGUACGGAAGAGGAGAGUGGAAUUCCUGGUGUAGCGGUGAAAUGCGCAGAUAUCAGGAGGAACACCAACGGCGAAGGCAGAUCUCUGGGCCGUAACUGACGCUGAGGAGCGAAAGCAUGGGGAGCGAACAGG
RNAcentral lists this ribosomal RNA (253 nucleotides) under uncultured bacterium. RNAcentral describes it as "partial 16S ribosomal RNA". It matches the Rfam family "Bacterial small subunit ribosomal RNA", at positions 524 to 776 of the family's 1533-position model. The record is from RNAcentral.